UGGGGAAUAUUGCACAAUGGGGAAAGCCCUGAUGCAGUGACGCCGCGUGCAGGAAGAAGGUUUUCGGAUUGUAAACUGCUUUAGACAGGGAAGAAACAAGACAGUACCUGUAGAAUAAGCUCCGGCUAACUACGUGCCAGCAGCCGCGGUAAUACGUAGGGAGCAAGCGUUAUCCGGAUUUAUUGGGUGUAAAGGGUGCGUAGACGGGUAUGCAAGUUGGUUGUGAAAUCCCUCGGCUUAACUGAGGAACUGCAACCAAAACUGUAUAUCUUGAGUACAGGAGAGGUAAGUGGAAUUCCUAGUGUAGCGGUGAAAUGCGUAGAUAUUAGGAGGAACACCAGUGGCGAAGGCGGCUUACUGGACGGUAACUGACGUUGAGGCUCGAAAGCGUGGGGAGCAAACAGGAUUAGAUACC
This 415-nucleotide ribosomal RNA is filed under the name uncultured bacterium. Its description in RNAcentral is "bacterial SSU rRNA". It matches the Rfam family "Bacterial small subunit ribosomal RNA", at positions 355 to 786 of the family's 1533-position model. The record is from RNAcentral.